Myotis brandtii (Brandt's bat) is the source of this 81-nucleotide non-coding RNA. Lineage: Eukaryota; Metazoa; Chordata; Mammalia; Chiroptera; Vespertilionidae. The record is from Rfam.
AUGUCUGAAGAGAGAAGCAGGGUCUGAUCCAUAGCUUGUGUGACAGCUGUUGAUCAGCACUUGCCUCUCUCUUUCUCUCAG